RNAcentral lists this ribosomal RNA (482 nucleotides) under uncultured bacterium. RNAcentral describes it as "partial 16S ribosomal RNA". It matches the Rfam family "Bacterial small subunit ribosomal RNA", at positions 30 to 507 of the family's 1533-position model. The record is from RNAcentral.
AUUGAACGCUGGCGGCAUGCUUUACACAUGCAAGUCGAACGGUAACAGGCCGCAAGGUGCUGACGAGUGGCGAACGGGUGAGUAAUGCAUCGGAACGUGCCCAGUCGUGGGGGAUAACUACUCGAAAGAGUAGCUAAUACCGCAUACGAUCUAUGGAUGAAAGCGGUGGACCGUAAGGCCUCGCGCGAUUUGAGCGGCCGAUGUCAGAUUAGGUAGUUGGUGGGGUAAAGGCUCACCAAGCCAACGAUCUGUAGCUGGUCUGAGAGGACGACCAGCCACACUGGGACUGAGACACGGCCCAGACUCCUACGGGAGGCAGCAGUGGGGAAUUUUGGACAAUGGGCGCAAGCCUGAUCCAGCAAUGCCGCGUGCAGGAAGAAGGCCUUCGGGUUGUAAACUGCUUUUGUACGGAACGAAACGGCUCUGGUUAAUACCCGGGGCUAAUGACGGUACCGUAAGAAUAAGCACCGGCUAACUACGUG